This is a long non-coding RNA of Cucumis sativus (cucumber), 128 nucleotides long. RefSeq lists it as uncharacterized. Lineage: Eukaryota; Viridiplantae; Streptophyta; Magnoliopsida; Cucurbitales; Cucurbitaceae. The record is from RefSeq and is a predicted model, not a curated record. The transcript has 2 exons.
CAAAUUUGAGGAAUCAUAUCUGCUGGCUUUGUAGUCCAAACAGAGUUGCAGUGGGUAAAUCUUAAUGGCUGGCAGAAAAUUGGUUCGGGAUAUAUUACUCUCAACACAAAGUAUUUUUUAUCAGUUUA